RNAcentral lists this ribosomal RNA (618 nucleotides) under Triticum aestivum (bread wheat). RNAcentral's name for it is "partial small subunit ribosomal RNA". Lineage: Eukaryota; Viridiplantae; Streptophyta; Magnoliopsida; Poales; Poaceae. The record is from RNAcentral.
AUGGAGGAGGAAUCCUCCUCGACGGACGAGGAGGAGAUUGAGCCGAGCAUGUAUGGCGAGACGUCAGUGUGCGGCCGCCGGAGGGAUAUGGAGGACGCGGUGUCCGUCCGCCCCGAGUUCCCCCCGGACCACCACUUCUUCGGGGUCUUCGACGGCCAUGGCUGCUCGCAUUGCUCUGGUCCUGACACGAGGUCGGACGAUGCGGAGCGGUGGAUGGGUGUCAUGGAGCGGAGCUUCGCGCGGAUGGACGCCGAGGCCGUGAGCUCAAGGUCAAGGGCCAGCGGAGCGCCCACCUGCCGGUGCGAGCUACAACUGCCCAAGUGCGACCACGUCGGCUCCAUGGCCGUCGUCGCCGUGGUCGGCCCUCGCCACCUCGUCGUCGCCAACUGCGGUGACAGCCGUGCGAUCAUCGGCCGCGAGGGCGCCGCCAUCCCACUCUCAUCCGACCACAAGCCGGAUCGGCCCGACGAGCUGGAGCGGAUCCAAGCGGCCGGAGGGCGCGUCAUCUUCUGGGACGGCGCCCGCGUCUUCGGCGUGCUAGCCAUGUCACGGGCCAUCAGAGACAGUUACCUGAAGCCAUUUGUGAUACCCCACAGGGCAGAAGUUUUAGUCUUGUAA